RNAcentral lists this long non-coding RNA (20588 nucleotides) under Hordeum vulgare. RNAcentral describes it as "long non-coding RNA (HVUL_LNC006176)". Lineage: Eukaryota; Viridiplantae; Streptophyta; Magnoliopsida; Poales; Poaceae. The record is from RNAcentral.
UGCCGUUGGUGGCGUCGCCCCGGCAGAGGCCAAGCCCCCACACCGUGUCGGUGUUGGCGCCGACGACCGCCGUUGCGAACAGCGAGCGGGAGGCGUUGGCGGCGAGGGACGCGAGGAGGGUGCGGACGUUGGACUGGUAGGUGCUGUUCUCGGGGUAGUACGUGCCGUUGUUGCACUCCCACGUCACGAGCUCCGCCCUGGCGCCGGCGGACGGCGUUACCAAGGUGCAAAGUGAUGAUAGCAGUAGCAGGAGGACGGAGGCACUGCACGCCGAGCGUAUGUCCAUCUUGUGCGGUCACCACGCCUGGUAGGUGUUCGGUCGAAUGUUACGUCUUUUUUUAUAGUUGGAAGGAUGGUGAGCUACUCAACCAUGGAUGAUGAGUUGUUGUGCGAUGACUGAUUGGCCGCGUCUGCGGAUUUCGUGGACAGCACUAGAGGGGAGCCCUUCUGGUGGCAAGUGCACGGAAAGUUUCAAGCUAGAAGGAACAUUGCACUUUAUGACAUGUACAUUAUUCAACCACGCAACAUGAAAUCGUUGUCGUAUCGCUGGCACAUGAUCCAGACCAGCUUCAUCUAGUUUUGCAACGUAGUUCGUGAGCUCGAGGAAAGGUGGCCAUUGCAUGCGACCGAUGAGGGGCUCGUAAGUUUAUUGCUUCAUGUUGCUCAACUUGUUGAUUGAUUCAUUCAUUCAAUGUUGACAUACACAUUAUAUGUAGCCCGCAUGCGUUGUCAUCGUGUACUAGUAAGAGGAACGAUCAUUUAGGUGCACACACUAUUGGAUGAUGCUAAAGGGUCAGUUUGUGUGGAACGAUAUGAUCUUUGAUCCAAAACUGGUUGGACAUAUGCUUAAUUGAGACCUUGUUUUACAAGACUUAAUUUGCAUGAUAUGCAUGGAUGAUUUGUGCUAUUUCCAAUCCGAACUUUAAUGAAUAUCAUCUUGUUGGUUUAAGUUAUGGUUAAAAUGUAUGCGGCUACGGUUGGAUGCCACCCUCUCCCGUAUCCGUGUACGUGGAUAGCCCCCCCCCCUUUUUUGCGGACGGAUGAGGGAGAAACUUUGGGGGUUGUCACUGAAGGUGCCCUAAGAUGUGCAAUACUUAGAAGACAUCUAGAUGUGCUUUAGCAAAACUAUAUAAUUUUCAAUGAAGACAACAUCUUUUUUUUUGACAAAGAGACGACAAUCGAACAUAUACAAAUAACAUCAAUCAUAUGAAGUCAAUUCCAACAAUCCCAUGCACACAUACAUAGGGUUGCAAGGCCUUAGCUCAACUCAUUGAAGACAACAUAAAGAUGAAUGAUUAGUUGAUAGUAUGUCUUACAGUGAUUUUUUUAUAGAAAAGAAGGUCAAACCCCGGCCUCUGCAUCAAUCGAUGCAUGCAGCCAUGUUAUUAAUUAUUCCACAAAGGUCAAACAAGAGUAUACAUCAAACUACCCAAAUCCACCACUCACGCCUACAAACUCCAUAAUAUGGAAUGCUCUCACUCCACAUAUCUAAGACCGAUGUUGUUUCCAAUCCAUCCACAUAACGUAUCGGGAACAACAGUCGGUGCAGCACACCUAAAAGGCACACAUCACGCACACGUUUUACCAGCCGCCAUCAUCCUCGAGCCACUGACCCAUCUUCAGGAAAGAGAUCCGCAUCAUCCUUGCCAGUCCAAUCAUCCGUCGACGCCAUCACGGCGCCCAACGGCGUCACCGCCCUGCGCUCAUCCGUCCAGCGGCGAACUCCGGGAUAUCUGCCGUGCGUAGCACCUUCCAACCAGGCAUGACUCAACGUAGCAUCUGUCGGCCAGGCAUGACUUGACAACUCCACCGAAAUUCCAUGCAAGACGAAGCCGCUCCACCUCCUACCUCAGUCCGCUAGCGCUGCUCCACAAACGAUGCUCCCAAGAGAGAAACGGCACCGCAGUUCCGCCAUCGUCCGAUCUGGAAGACCAAAUCCUAGGGUUUCCCCCAGUGCCCACCACCAGCAACCGUUCAGGACCCACAUAGUGCCCACCACCACUCAGCCCUCAAGGCGACGCCUUCAGAAAGGUCACGACGUCAAGAACGCCGCCGCCGCCCACCGAAGUUAGGGUUUUCACCUGAGAGGCAAGGAGGGGGAGCAGAGGAGCAGAUAUAUACCGACGUCUUCAAAAAGAAAAACGGCGCCCUUGAGCGUCGUCGUCGGCGAGGCCGGCCUGGGCCAACCAAGGGGUUUCCCCCAAUCCGAAUCUCCUCCACCGGCUUCACCCGCAUGCAGAGCGCCGGCAAACGCCAGCACCAAGUCCGCAGGAGAGAGGCCCACAUAUAAGGGCUGGAGGACAACGGCCAGAUAUGACGCCGCCGGCCGCCAUACAGCCAUCGUCGGCUGACCAUAACCAGGAGCACCGCCCCCUGACCGGAGCCGUAACCACCAAAACCGCGGCCGCCGCAGACAACACCCCAGUCACCGCAGACGCGCCCGGCCGCCGCUCCACGCGCGACCCGCAUCCGCCAUGGCAGCGCCGGAUCCCGCAGCACCCGAGCCCGCGGGCGAACGUGGCAGAGCCAGAGAUGCCGAUUCCGCCAGAUCGAAACCGCCUGCCACCGCAGACGCGCUCGGCCGCCGAUCCACGCGCGACCCGCAUUCGCCAUGGCAGCAUCGGAUCCCGCAGCACCCGAGCUCGCGGGCCAACGUGGCAGCCGAUUCCGCCAAAUCAAUCCCGCCGCCGCCAUCCCCGGGGCGUGCGCGGCUUUGCCGGCGUCCCCUCCGGCAGCGGCGAAGCGGGUGGGAGGACGGAGAGGGGGCCGGCGGCGGCGGGAGGGUUCGUCCCUAACGGCUGCCGCACGCUCUGAUCAGACGAGCCACCGGUCGGCGGCGAAGGAAGUGCGUCCGCGGGUCGCGAGGCGGAUCUGGCUGGGAACCUCGCGAGGGCUUGACUAAUCAUGGAGAGAAUGAACGUGGUGGUAAAUAUGGAGAUGGCUAUGAAGAUGGAAUGGGAAACAACGGCGGCAAUGGUUGAAGGUGGUUUCUAGUCCUCCGUAUCGCAAAUGGUGCUCUCUCUGUUGAAAUUUUGAUGCGGUGGACGUCUUGUUAACUUGGUGGACAUCCCGGUGCUGACGGCAUGUGGUAUGACCGGCGGUACGAGCGGGAGCGCUUGUAUUAUGCGGCGUCUUGCGCUCUAGCUAGAUUGCUACUUGUUGUGCCUCCUGUUAACUUGCCUCUUCCGUCAAACUUUGUAUUCCUUCUAUGCGAUGAUAUUAUUUCAUGUUUGGGCCCAUUUCCUAUGAAAACACAUGAAACAAAUGAUUUCAAAAUUUCUAAAGUGGUGGCCCACAUGCCCCACAAGCUCAAGCUCCACCCCUACCCUAGGGUUAGCCGCCUGCACUUGUGUCCACCUCGUAAGUGAGUUGGGGCUCUCUGGAUAAAAAAUGUAUUUAUAUUUCAGCCCAAUAACUAAGGAUCACUGGAUAUUAAAGAAAUGGUGGAGGGCUCCAAAAACAGGUUGUGGAACACAGAAGAAAACAUCCCUUCCGUGUCGUGCACACAUGGAGGACACGGAGGAUUACCGAUGUAGCACUACUAGUGAAAAGCCUAGUAGUAACGCCGGUUUUUUCCAUAUAAGUAGCGCGGGGUGCACCCGAAAUAUUUUUCUUUCAUGAACAUCCCAAAAUCAUGACCCCAAAUUUCAAACAAUAACAAUUAUGGAGCAGCAUACAUAUAGAGAAUCUAGAUGAGUGCACAGGAGAUAAUGGUUUUUCCAAGUCCAGAUGCUCAAGACGAAGUUCAUGCCCUUGAGAUGUGGUAAUAUUCUACUUCAUGCCAGAGUUUAUGGUGAUUAUCGGGAGGGAGGGCCCUAUCUUUCCCUUAUAUAGGUGAACGCGACGUAGGAUUACCUGGGCUCGAGUCAGUUUACAGUUUAUAUUUACGUAAUAUACAUGUUUUGUACUCCAAGGCGAUGACGCGUCUUUGUAUGAUUAUUACAAAAUCACUAGUUAAUGAGCACUCUUUGCAAAAGUCACUCCCAUCUUCUGAGGUUGAUACAAAUGUCGCAAUGCAUGGACAUCACUUGUUGCAACCUAGAUUUUUUCGUAUAUUUGUUUAUUCAAAAUGCUUCAUCUCUCAAACCGUAUGUCCAAAGCUUGAAUCGUUUCCAUCAUUGGAUUCCUUGCGUCCGGAUGUUCAAAAUUAGAUUUCAUGUUGAUAAAUUUCGACGAACCUUUUGCUUUGAUAAAAAAGCUGAUGAAAAAUACUGAAGCGGAAGCACGUUCGCGCAUAAUCAAAUCCGUCCCUCGACGAGAGUAAAUCAGUGUCUCUCGUGGUAGGAAAAGAAUGUCUUUUUUCCUUUUUGCGAGAGGCACGAUCAUAUCUCUUCCGUAAGCAAAUCUGUACCUUCACAAGAAGUAAAUCCGUGCCUCUUGUCAAAGAAAAAGGUGAAGCAAAUCCAUGCCUACAAACGAAGUAAAUUUGUGCCUCCGGUGAAAAAAACGUGUUAUUUUUCUUUUUGAAGGGACAUGCUCGCAAAAGCAAAUUCAUGCAUGUACGAGAAAUAAAUAUGUGCCUUAUAUAGUCGGAAAAAGCCGUGCCUACAAGAGAAGUAAAUCCGUACAUCUCGCGAAAGAAGAAAAAAAUUGUUAUUUUUCCUUUCCAAGAGACACGACCGUGCCUCUCGCAAAGCAUAUCCGUGCAUGUACAAGAAGUAAAUAUUUGUCUCACAUAAUAGGAAAAAAGUUCAUGCCUCUCUCAGAAGCAAAUUCAUGGCUCCACGAGAAAUAAAUAUAUGCCUCUUGCAAAAAAACAUGUUUUUUCAAGUCAGAAAAGGGUUCGGAAAAAAUUGGUCCAAAACCUAAGAAAAGCCGGUGAGAAACCGAAAAGGCAAAAAAAAAAUCAUCUAAUAAGCGAAAACAUAUAAAGAAAAAUAAAAAAUAAAAAUCCAAAUGAAACGCCAGAACAAGACACGUGGCGGCGGCUGAGAGCGCGCCAAGUAACGCGUGGUGCGCUCUCAACCCACCCUAAAUAACCCUUGAAGAGGCUCCAAAAAAGCGCUCUUAGAUUAGUUGCUCCGAACACUCCCAGUUGUCGCAUGGCCCAUCCUGUAGCAAUUGGGCCAUGUUCAUCCUCCUACGCGCUAUGACCUUGUCACAUAUCAAGCUCGGUAUGAUCAGGGCCGUCUCCAGUAGUUCGGGGCCCGGGUGCGAAAAGUAAAAUGCGGCCCUAACAUUUAAAAAAACAUAUGAUAACAAAACAUAAUCACCUAAUUAUGUAAUUAAAAUUUAUGUUAUUUUAUACAGUGCCUAGAAAAUUCUUAAGUAUCUAUUCAAAAUACUAAAACCAAUAGACCGACCUCAUGCUGUAUUAAAAAGCAUCAUCCAUCUUGUGUUUCUUGAAAUAAAAUCUUCAAUUAUAUCUUCAUAAUUAACCUUCUACAAGAUAUCAUUUUAGUGAUGUUGUCGCCAAACCAUUCAGUCUUUCUUGUGUCAAAGUAGAACGCAAGUAGGAUUUCAACAUCGUGACCAUCAUUAAUAUUAGUAUCUGGAGUUUGAUAUUAAGAAUUAGUUUGGGGUCCUUUCACAACAUAUUUAUCAAGAACAUCCCGUUGAGAUUGAGCAUCUUCGUCUAAUUUAUGUUUCUCCUCACGCUUGAAGGCACCAGAAUCAUACUUUCUUCUAGAAUUAGAAUGCAAGAUUGUUUCUGUUUCAAUGAAAUACAUACUCUUUCAAUUUAUUUGAAUUGAUGAGUUCACAUGAAAUAUAGACUUCUGACUUGUAUAGAUAGUUCAAAAAACAUAGAAUCAGAUAUAACCUUGAUUUUGGACUUGGACGAUAGGACGAGCAACUACUAAAAUUCUUGAAUCCCUGACUACUUCUAAACUUGAACAACUAGACAAAAAUCGUUUCAAAACAUAUUAGUUAAAUAUCAACUCGACUUUGUAAAUUGUAAUUUGUACCAAAAUUAGAGAAACUGGAUGAGCGUGGGGACGAGGGAUAGGGAGGGCACCACACCAUUGGUCUUCCGUUCCUGUGGGCGGCACCGUGGCAGUUGCGGCGGCAGCGGCUGGCGCUCGAAAGUCAAAUGCAGUUCGCCUAGGCCAUGAGUUCUCCAGUUCCGCAACACGGUCGCCAUCGGCAUCGAGCCGAUCCAGUCCGAGGUGCGGGAAGGCGAGAUGCAAGGAAUAGAAGCAGAACUGCGGAAGUUAAGGGGCUGUCAUUUCGUCUAGGAUACAAUGGAUCUAUCAUCGAUUCACCUCAGCCACUUAGGCCUCGAGCGUUCCAGGCCCAAGAAGGCCUAGCAACGAACAUAGUACAAACUAUUAUGGACCUAGUUGGGGCCCCCAUGAUUUUUGGGGCCAUGUGCGAGCGCACAGCUCGCACAGGCCCUUCAACGGCCCUCGCUAUGACAAAUAGAUGGGUGUUCGCUAGCACUUAUCAUUGAUAUCUAGUCAUGAGAGGAAUCCAAUCUCGAACCGUUUUUACCGUUGGAUUCCUCGUGACGAGAUCUUUAAAACUAGAUCUUAUGUUGAUAAGUUUUGACAAAAAAAAGUUUUAAAAAAAUCGAACAAAAUAAACCAAACCGGUAUCACAUUCCCGAGGAAGAAAAUCCGUGCCUCCAUGAGAAGUCAAUUUGUGCAUCUCAUGAUAGGAAAAAAGAAAACUUAUUGUUUUUUCCUUUUCGCGAGAGACACGACAAUGCCUUUCGCGUAAGCAAAUUCGUGUCUUCACGAGAAAUAAAUCCGUGCCUUCCAUGAAAGAAAAAAAUGUCUUUUCUUUAGGCACGAUCAUACCGUUCAUGGUAGAUAAAAGAAUGUGUUUUUUUAUUUUUACGAGAGGCACGGCCGUACCUCCAUGAGAACCGUGCUUCGCACGAAAGAAAAAAGAUCUUUUCUCUUUUUUCAAGAGGCACGGCCUAACCUUUCACGAAACUAGUCCAUGCAUCUACCAAAGUAAAUCCGUGUCUCUCGUAGUAGGAAAAGAAAAUAUGUUUUGUCUUUUUGUUAGAGGCACAAAAGUAAAUUCGUGCUUUCACAAGAAGUAAAUUCGGGCUUCUUAGAGAAAGAAAAGAAAACACGUUUUUCCGCAUCAAAAAAUCAAAGAAAAAAUUAGUCCAAAACAAGCCGAAAAAAUUCAAAAAAUAAUAAUCUAAAAGCUUAAUAUGAAUGAAGAAAAUUAAAAAAAGAAGGAAGCGACUAAAACGCGACAUGUAAUGGCAGUUGUGACGCAUUUCCAGCCCACUCUAAAUGACACUUGGGACGGCUCCUGAAUUAGCGCUCUUUGAUUAGUUGCUCCGAAGACUCCCAUUCGUCGGCCUGGUCCACCUGUAGCAAUUGUGCCUCCUACGCGCUAUGUUAUUGUCACAAAUCAAGCCCGGUUAUGACAAAUAGACGGGUGUCCACUAGCGCUUACCGUUGAUUUCUUAGUCGUUGGAGGCAUGCUCUCCUCCUCUCCCCUCCAUCCAUCCACUGGCUGGCUGAUGAUGAUUACAAACAAUUCUAUUACGUAGAAACCUGUGGCCAGCAUCGCCAUUGAGAUAAAGGGGAGCAGGUGUCGCUGUGAAUAAACCUUGCGACGAUUCUUUGGACAGAGACGACAGCCACCCGGACGUUGAGUUGAUAAUAACAUGACGCCUGAAUAGACAAUCAGUAGCCUUCUCGAUGCCCCCCUGUGAAGGGAAGAAUUUAUCACGACGUUGAGUUGAGAGAGACCCAGUGUCCCAAUGGCAUCAUCCCCCAUGUGGAGCACAGCGCGCAAUACAAAUGUGAGACUAAAAAGCAGGUCAUGAGACAGGUGAAAGCAACUGUCGUGAGAAAAGUUGGUGUACCAUUCUACUACAUUCUACAUACGUAGGCGAGUCUAUUCCCUAGCUUACACGCAAAAAAAAAAACGUCUACUCCCUAGCUAGUCUUCAAUUUGCAAUGUCCCCUUGAAUCACCAUACAGUACUAGUCGUCGAUCUAUGCGUGCAUAUAUCAUUUUCUCACAGUGAAGGGACAAGAUCAAUGCUGCUGUCACCCGAAAUAAAUGACUAAAUUAUUAUUUUUUCAGUUUGUUAAUCUGAUUUUGCACUAUCCGGUUUUCUUCUCGACAGGGCGUCCAAAACUAGAUCAACUUCAUUCGCUAUAUUCCGACUAAUAUAACCUAGCAAGUGACUAACAAAACCAAUGAAAAAAAAAUAUUCGUUCCAGAAAGAAGAGAAGAUGUGUGAUGGUGCCAAGUAGCUAGCGUACAAUCUGGGGGGAAAGCCAGUUGAGAUGGACAAGACCGGGAUACGCGCUCAAGGCAGCUCACGGUACAGGUGAAAGCAACCGUGACACUAGUUGAUAUACCAUUCUACAUAGACAUAGGCGACUCUAAUCCCAGUCCCGGUCUUUUUUCUUUUACUUUUUGCGGGUGAGUCUAGUACUCCCAGUCUCCCGCCACAAGGACAUGGCAUUACAAUUUACGGUGUCUUCUUCAAUUUUGCGGGUAAUCAUUAUGUUGAUAUUUGAUAUUUGGAAAUUGUAAUAUCAUUAUAAUUUUUAGUAACAAGUGACGUUGAAUAUCACCCUCUUUUGGAACUUAGGAUGAUCUUUUAAAAUACAUGAUGAACCUUUCUUUUCAAGUACUUGUUGAAGAUUUUUUUUCCGAAUACACGCUAUACAUAUUUUUGAUACACAAUUGUUUUUCAAAAUAUCACGAACAUAAACUUUUAAACGCGUGAACAUUUUUAAAUGUCAUGAACAUUUUUUGAAUGGUGCAAAAAUUCGUUUAAACCUGUGCAAACAGAUUUUUAACACUGCAUGAAAAUAAAAUAAAGCAUGACCAUUCUUUCAAUGGCAUAUUUUUUCUAAAUGUACGAACAUUUUUUAAAGCCACGAGAACAAUAGAAGUUACAUUCCCCAAAUACUUUUAUAAUAGGCGGUGAAUAUAAAUAUUGUGGGCCGGCCCACUACUCGCUGCCCUUGUUUGUUGGAGCACAAAACAAAGCCGCGCUCAGUUACUCAAGGAAAAAAAGGCUAGCCGCGCCCAGUUACCAAAAAGAAAAAAGGCUAGCCGAGCCACGAUCUCAGCUAGCUACUGAAUAAUAAUAAUACACUAAAAUAGCAAGCUAAUGAAUAAUAUGAGUAAAAUAUUCAUGCUGGGUGUAAGAGCAACUUUAAUGGGACGACCCAAGCGGACGGCGAUUUCGUCCGUUUUUUAUCCAUUUGGAUUGGCCGCCCGCCCGGCGUCCGUCCUGUUUUAGAUAUGGGUCGACAGCGCGCCCAUCACGUCGACCCAUAUGUGUCGGCGUGGCCGGCCAACCGGCCUAUUUUGCAUGAGUUUGCAUAGUUUGAAUCAAAUAACAAAAUUUGGACCGAAUAAAAUAGCAUAUUUAUUACAAGCCGAAUAGAAAUAGCAUAACUCUCACAUAGUUUUGCAAACGAAUAAAAGAAGAUAAAUAUAUUGGUUGCCAACGUGAGCCCACGUAUGCUCAACCAAAUCAUUUUGUACUUGCACGUGAGUUUCCCAAUCACGCAUGUUUUGAUGAAAUUGGAUGAACUGUUCAAACAUUGCCGCUCCUCCAUGUUCAGGCACAACAUUCUCACCCUGAAACUGAAACCCUUGAUCGUACAGAUGUUUUGGGCGCUCGUCUUCUACGAUCAUAUUAUGCAUGAUCACACAAGAAGUCAUCAUCUCCCACGGUUUCUGCGUGCUCCAGGUAUUAGCAAUAUACCGAACGAUGCCCCAUCGAGAUUGCAAAAAACCAAAGGCACGCUCGACAUCCUUCCUAGCACUCUCUUGCUCUUGGGCAAAUCUUUUCCUCUUCUCUCCGACAUGGUUGGGCAUUGUCUUGACAAUAGUGGUCCACUGAGGAUAGAUGCCGUCAUCCAGGUAGUAUCCUUUGUCGUAGUUAUGGUUGUUGACAGUAAAGUUCACCGGUGGGUUGUUGCCUUCGGCAAGCCUAGCAAACACCGGCGAGUGCUGAAGCACGUUGAUAUCAUUGUGUGAUCCGGCCAUGCCAAAGAAAAAGUGUCAGAUCCGGAGAUCUUCACACGCCACGGCCUCUAGUAUGACAGUGCAAGCCUUGACAUGGCCCUUAUACUGUCCUUGCCAAGCAGAAGGGCACUUCUUCCACUCCUAGUGCAUGCAGUCUAUGCUACCAAGCAUCCCUGGAAAGCCCCUGCUGGCAUUCAUCGCCAACAAACGGGUUGUAUCUUCAGCAGUCAGCUCUCUCAAGUACUCAGGGCCAAACACAGCAAUAACAGCCUUGCAAAACUUAUACAUAGACUCUAGGCAAGUAGACUCGCUCAUAUGGACGUACUCGUCAACGAGAUCACCGGGCACUCCGUAUGCAAGCAUUCGGAUGGCGGCAGUUCAUUUCUGAUUAGAGGAAAACCCUAUCUUGCCAACGGCAUCCUCUUUGCACUCGAAAUAGUCAUCAUAGCCGACCACCCCCUCUCUAAUACGAUUGAAAAGAUGCCUACUCAUACGGAAAACGGCGACGGAAUUUUUGUUAUUUGAACAACAGGGUUGUUGUUUCAAAGUAGUCCUUACAAAGAAGGAAAUGUCCGCUCUCUUGGUUGUGAUCCAACGCUGGAAGGUGGCCCGGAAUGGAGCCACGGAACAACGAUCGGUGGAUGUUGAGGUGGUGAUGGACCAACAUGACAGCCAAUAUCUCCUCCUCGUGAUCGGACGACGAAUCGUCGGAGUCGCAAAGGAAAUUGUAAAAAAAUAACUCGUCGACGAGUCCAUUUUGUACCUUGGCAAACUGCCGAACAGCUUGCUUGCGCACGGACCAGCUAGCUGCCCUUUGGCGUCCGACGAGUGGGCUGAUGUCCGAAGAGCGUGCUGGUGAGGAUAUGGCCGGGCGGCGAGGCGACUUCUUGGUCGGGGCGGGCUGUGUGGUGGGGGCGCGGGAGUGGGAAGCAGUCGGCUCCCCAGCGGCAAGACGGCGGUUGCGGGCGACAUGGAAGUGGGCGCCGUUGCUGGGCGAAUGAGGAGGCGCCGACAGCUGGUAGAGUCGCUGGCAAAAAUAGGCGGCGGCGUCGGUGAGGAAGGAGGCGGGUGAGGGUUGGAUGGGGGGAGGCCAAUGUGCCACCGACCAGCGGGCUCGGGGGAGGAGAAGGCGAGCGUGCGCGCGUCCGUCGCGUUUCCGCGUCGGUACAAAUCCGGCUCAAAAAUGUUUCGCCCGCGGACGAAAACUGGACGCGCCUCUGUUUGGGUCGGCGGGUUGGGUCGACUUUUGUGUCUGCGCCGACCUAAACGGACGGCGGCGAACGAAAUGGGUCGCCCCAUUGAAGUUGCUCUAAGGGAUUUGAUCGACAUUAAAGAAGAAAAAUUCACAUGGAAAAAGUUCACGAAUUUUCAAAAGACCGUGAAUUUCAAAAUGUUCACGAAUUCAGAAAAACAUGAAUUUGAAAUUUCUUCCCGAACAUUGGAAAAAAUCAUGAAUCUGCGAAAUGUUUACAAAACGAAAAAAAAAUAAGCAAGAACUUUCCUGAAAAACACCAAGGAAAAACGACCAUGUUAAAAAUGACGAAAGACCAUUCUUAAAACCGGUGGAAAAAAACAUGAAUGAUUGAGAAUUUUUCUUAAAGUUACAAUUUUUUCUUAUUUAAAUUUGUGAAAUAACCAAUUUACAGAUUUUUUUUAAACAAAUGAAAUCUCAGAGAUUUAACUUAUUCAAAAAUUUUGAACUUUUCUAAAAUUCACAAUCCUUUUUCUUUCAAGCUUUGAAAACAUGUGAUUUUCUAAUUUAUAUUUUUUUUCAAAAUUUGUAAUCUUUUUCCAAAUUCAUGAAAUUUUGUGAGCCCACAUUUUUUUUUGAAUUGCAUCUUUUUAGUUUUUGCGAUUUUUGUUGAAUUCAUGAACUUUCUGCAAAAGUCAACUAUAAAAUCUGGCGAGCGAGCAGUCGCGCAUGAGAGCAUGGAUCUAUCCUUGCUGGGCCUGCCGACGGGAGAUGACGCAUCAGUUUCCGAUGCGGUGUUUAGUGCGUCGAUCAGGAGCUCUAAAAAUUAUUGGCUGGGGCUUCUUUCUUUCUCUUAUCAUCGUUGUUGAAAAUGUUCUGAAACCUUCUUUCAUUCGUUUUUUCUCCGAUUUCUCUGAGGUUUUAUUGGUUUUCCAUCUUUAUUUUCCUUUUCCUUGUAUUUUUAACUUUCACUUUCUCCUUUUUAUUUGGGGACAUUUCUAAAUCAGAGAAUAUUUUUUACAAAAAUCAUUAAAUAUUUUAAAAUUCUUGAUUUCUUAGGUUUUUCAAAAUAAAAAUUACUUUUCAAAUUUCUUGAACAUGUUUUAAAAAUUUCAUGGUAGCCUGGUUUUGAAGAAAAAAAUAACUGGAAAAACCAGUCAACCAGCGUAUCCAACAUCCUGCUUUAGGAAACCGGACGAAUAAAAUAACAAGUAGCCCAAAAUAGUUAGCCUGCUGGUUAAAUUUGAGGUACUAAGCAUUUGGUCUUUUAGAGUUUAGUGCACGUGCAUUGCAACGAAAAAAGUAAAAUUUGCAUGCUUACAACAUAGUAGGGUGGAUUAAAAAAAUACUGAUAUUGUACUCCCUUCGAUCCAUAAUAAGUGUAGUAGUUUUGAACUAAAGAUCGAAGGGAGUAAUCUUAACAUUCAUAUUCAGUAGGUCUAUGCAUGAAACCACCAUCGCACUGCUGAAAAAGGACAUAUAUAUGAACCCCAUUUAACUGGCGUAGAGUAAUACAAAACCCAACAUUGGUAAUUUUAAAAUUUAUUAGUGCCGGAUGAAAAAUCCGGACCGUCAUUGCUAUUAGGUUAGUAGUGGCGAGCGCGAGUUUGCGUCUGCCACUGAUAAUACCGGUCCAAAUUGUCAUGGAGGAAAUGUUGCCAAUGACGGGCACAAAACUACGCCCACCACUAGUACUUGAGUUACCUCCGGCGGGCAGCAACACGUACCCGCCAUUGGUAUUUUUUGAUCUUGGAGCAAAUUUGUCUAAAAAUAUCAAUGACGGGCCGCAGUACAUGUGUGCCACUGGUAACUCAACCACCUAUGGCGGGCCUCAGACAUCACCCGCCACACAUAAAAUAGUAAAAUCCUAUUUAACCCUCUUGGCAGCAAAUAGUCGGGCAAACGCACAGGGAUGCGACAAACUGGGCCGGCCUAUCUCCUUUUGCAGGCAGUUCUGUUUUCUGCUUCAGUUUUUUCGUCCCUUUUUAUGUUUCGUUUUUUUCCUUUUUUUUUCAUUUUUCGGUUUUCUGCUUCAGUUUCUUUUAUUUCCUUUUUUUCUAUGGUUAUUUUUUAAUGUAAGUUUAUGUUCUAUAUUGUUUCUUGAAAUUCAGAAAAUGUUCUUGAUUUUAUAAAGAUGUUCUAAAUUUCAAAUAUUUGCUGUUUUCCAAAAAACACUCCUAGCUUCAAAAUGUUCAGGAUUUUAGAAAAAUGUCCGACAUUUUCAAAAAAUGUUCGCCAUUUUAAAAAAAAGUUUUUUCUUUCGAAAAAUGUUAUUGUUUCCUUUUUAAUUUUUUCCUUCACUUUUGUUCCAUUUCCCUUUUCCUAUUUUUCUGUUUGACAUUUGAUAAUUUUUGUUUUGAAUUCCAAAAAAUCUUCUCGUAUUCACACUUUAUAUUUAAAUGUCUGUGCUUCAAAAAAUGUUCCUGCUUCCAAAAUGGGUUCAUCUUUUGAAAAAUCUCGAGUUUCAAAAAUUGUUCUCGUAUUCAAAAAAAUGUUCCUAUUUUCAUAAAUUGUUCACAAUUUUUUAAAAUAUGUGCUUGCUUUUCACAUUUUUAUGAAAAAUGUUCCCGUGUUACGAAAAAUGUGUCUUCUUUUCCAAACUUUGUUCACAAAUUGAAAAUUGUUCAAAUUUUGUUCGCCAAUUCUAAAAUUAUUCAUGAUUUUAAAAUGUUCUUGAAGUUUAGAAAAUAUUCUUCAUUUUCUAAAAACUAUUUGUCCUAUCAAAAAAUGUACGUAAGUUCAAAAAACGUUCCUCUUUUGAAAAGUGUACAUAAGUUCAAAAAUUGUUCACCAAUUUCAGAAAUUGUUCUUUCUUACAAAAAUAAUAUUCGUUCUUAGAAAGAAAAUGAUCUUUGUUUGUAAAAUGCUCCUGUUUUGAAAUUUGUUUAUAGACUAAGAAAUUGUUUAUGUUUUCAAAAAUUCUGUGUAUUUAAAAAUUUGUUCGCGCUUCCGAAUUUGUUUAUUUUUUAAAAUUGUUAUAGAUUUCAUAUUUGUCCAAAAAAUUCAAAAAAGUGUUUGUUUUAAAAAAAAUGUUCGCUCUUUCAAAUUUGUUUGGGGUUUUACAAAAUUGUUCUCCUUUUUAAAAUUUUGUUCUCAAGAUUCAAGAAAUGGUCGUGUAUUUAAAAAAUAGUUCGCUCUUCAAAAUUAGUUCACGUUUUUUCAAUUGUUCUCAGUUACAAAAUUCCUUCUCAAAAUGCAAAAUAUGCUCGUGCUUUAAAAAUUUGUCCGCACUUUCAAAUUUGGUUGUUGUUUUUCAAACAUUUUCUCCUUUUCAAAAUUUUGUUCCUUAGAUUUAAAAACAAUUCGUGCUUUAAAAAAUUGUUCAAGCGUCCAAAUUUGUUCAUUUAAAAAAAAAUUGUACUCAGUUUCAAAGUUUGUUCUCAAAAUUCCAAGAAUGUUCGUGGUUUAAAAAUAUGUCCUCGCUUUCAAAUUUGUUCAGGAUUUUUCAAAAUUGUUCACCUUUUCCCAAAUUUUGUUCUCAAGAUUCAAAGAAUGUUCCUGCUUUGAAAAAUUGUUCACGCUUCCAAAUUUGUUCACGUUUCCUAAAAUUGUUUGCAGUUUCAAAAUUUAUUCUCAAAAUUUAAAAAAUGUUCGUGCUUAACAAUUUUUUUUGCGCGUUCAAAUUUGUUCAGGGUGCUUCAAAAUGGUUCUCGUUUUGAAAAUUUUGUUCUCAAGAUUUAAAAAAUAUUUGGGCUCUAAAAAAUUGAUCACACUUUCAAAUUUCUUCAUGAUUUUUCAAAAUUGUCAUGCAAAUUCGAAAAAUAUAGUUUCUUCAAAUAAAAAAGAAAAAACGAACGAAAAAAAAGAAAAUAAGUAGAGAAGAAAAAAGUAACAGAAAAAAAGUAAAACUGGGCCGGCCCAGUCCGGGCCCUCUGUGCGGUGCAGGGCUGCGUGCCGCAUUGAGCGGCAUGUAGGAGCUCCCCUACAAAUUUUGCCAUGGAUUAAUGUCAUUGGUCACGUCCAUCCAACUAUCUAAAGAAAAGGGGAAGGGAAAAAGAAAAAGAAAAUGAACCACCCACCGCACGUAUAGAGCCACACAUCUCUCUCUCUUAUAGGAUCUGCUGCAUUUAACAUUUGCCGGGCUUAUAGAGAGACGAUAGAGGAACGCCUCGCCUUAGGGAACGCGCUAAGUUCAGCCGACCAAUGUGCAUUAGUUCGCCAUAUAGUUUUUUUUAAAAUUUUGUUUAUAUUCUGAGACAUUCUAAAUACAUAUACUUCGGAAAGUAAUUUAGUUAUUGUACUUUGAAAUGCCAACACGGCGUAAAAUGUUGUUACUUCCUCCGUUUCAUAUUAAUUGACGCUCAAACAAAUGUAUCUAGCAUUGUAAUAUGUCUAGAUACAUUCAUUUGAUCGUCAAUUAAGAGACAGAUGGAGUAGCUUAGUUUUUUAAAAUAUUGCAUUACAAACAUUACAACAUUUAUAAAAUCACAUGUUUCCAAAGAAUGCACAUGUCAAUUAAAAAUAUAUAUACAAUGUAAGAAAAAAAACUGCUGUUAGAAAAGGUUUCAUACGAUCAAAAAAAUGUACAUUUCUUUUAAAAAAUGCUUACAAGUUAAAAAAAUAUGUUCGUGAAUUGGUUUUAAAACAUGUUCGCAUAGUUCUAAAUAUGUUUGUAUAAUUCAAAAAUUUGAAGGAUGUUUGGCACGUAUUCAUAAACAAUUACUUUGAUAAAUGUUAAUCCUGUAGUUCAGAAACAUUAAAUGUGUAUAAAAAUGUACAAGUGUAUGCCGAUAAACCAGCGGUUCAACAGUCUGCCUUGCAAAGGAGUAUGUCCCAGGAGUAGGGUCGUUGAUCUCAGAUUCCCACCUAUUUGGGGUGGGACUCAAGAUACUAUUUAUAAUCUUUGAGGUUUGUUCGACAUGUUCAGGUUUGGUCUUUUGCGGUUCACCAGAGUUUGAGAGAAAUGCUUGAAAGCACAAGAUGAAGUUAGAGAUGACAAUUCAUAUGUGUUUGAAGUGUUUCAGGUUAGAGAUGACAGUCAAGAUACUAUUCAAAAUCUUUGAGGUUUGUUCGACAUGUUCAGGUUUGGUCUUUUGUGGUUCGCUAGAGUUUGGGAGAAAUGCUCGAAAGCAAAAGAUGAAUUUAGAGAUGACAGUUCGUAUGUGUUUGAAGUGUUUGAUGUUAGAGAUGCUGUUGCUUUCAAAAAAAAAAAAAAAGAACCAAGCCCUCAACCUUUGUAUCAAUCGAUGCAUGCAACUAUAUUUAUUAAUUUAAGCAUAAAGUCUUAGAUCCGCAAAGAGCUCACAAACUGAGUGUAAAAACAAGUGCUGGGAACAGUUGAAAACUCACACAUCUGGUGAAAUCAAAAGUAAGCUACAAUGUCUAUACACUUAGCAUAUUAUUAAUUUAUCAUCUAAUCGACUGAAGAUAGCCUGUCCGGUCAUCUUUCAUCGGUUGCACCCAAUAGCCAUAUACUCUCUGGAGUCCGCAUGAUUAAAUAACGACCACGUACGAAUUUAAAUCGUGGUUCUGUAGAUAACCUGAAAAAAUAAUUGUGUAAUGACAGUUUUUCUAAAAUCAAAUUGUUUGGUCAAACGUUGAACGUGCAAUGUGAUGUGAUGCUCUCUAGAGUCUAGGCAGCUGGCUCGAUGCAUCCGUUAUUUAGCGUGGAAGAUAACAUUGUUUAAUCUUUCUUGAUUGAUCUUCUUCCCAAGAUAAAGCCGGGAAGAAGAUUCAUGCUGAAGCAAGCGAAUGCCAACUACAAGCAUUAAGGAUUUUAUAUAUACCCACCCAACUGAACCACCGCGCCGUACACGACGAGCACCGCGCCGGAUUUUAGUCCAAGCCUGGGCUCGAUCGAUGGCCGGAGACGAGGGCGAGGUGACGGUGCUGGGCCACUGGGGGAGCCCGUUCGUGACGCGGGUGCGGCUGGCGCUGCGGCUCAAGGGCGUGCGGUACGAGUACGUGGAGGAGGACCUGCGCAGCAAGAGCGACCUGCUCCUCCGCUGCAACCCCGUCCACCGCGCCGUGCCCGUCCUCAUCCACCGCGGCCGCCCCGUCUGCGAGUCCCAGGCCAUCCUCCAGUACGUCGACGAGGCCUUCGGACCUCCCACCCUCCUCCCCGCCGACCCGCACGAGCGCGCCGUGGCGAGGUUCUGGGCGGCAUACUUCGACGACGAGCUGGGCGCGCCGUGGGACAGGGCGCUCCGGGCAGGGACGGAGGAGGAGCGGGCGGCGUGGAUGAAGAAGGUGGUCGACGCGGCGGACGGGCUGGAGCGUGGGCUGGGGGAGUGCACCGACGGGGGCAGGAAAGGAUGCUUCUUCGGCGGUGAAAGCGUCGGGUACGUCGACGUCGUGGUGGGCGGCGCGGUCUCGUACGUGCACGCCGUAGCCAGGGUCUCCGGCGAGAGGCUAUUCCAGGAUGAAGGCAGGACGCCGCUGCUGGCGGCGUGGCUGCGGCGCUUCGGCGAGCUCGACGCCGCCGUGGAGCUGCUCCAGGACGUCGACCGGGUCGUCGAGUACGUCAGGUUCAUACACACCAAGAACGCUGCCAAGGCUACUGCGAAUUAACUAGGGCUCGAUUUUAGACUCGUUGGAUCUGUACCAAUCAUGCAUACCAACCUUUCUUUCACCGUGGAAGAUCCAACACAAUUCAGAUCUCAAUAGUCGUGUCAGUCACAAGGUGAUAUUUACUCCCUCCAUCCCAAAAUUGUUAUUUUAGGUUUGUCUAGAAAUGAAUGUAUCAAAAUACUAAAACGUGAUUAAAUACAUUUAUAUUCAAACAAAUCUAAGACAAUUUUUUUUAAACGGAGGGAGUAUUUUACUAGCAGGCGGAGUCAUGAAGCGCGUGUGUGAUUGUGUUGUUUUCCUUAUAAAGUAAAAAAAAAGAUAUGAAUAAGUGAGCUGACAGUUUACAGUGUGAAAGUCAAUUUAACUAAGAUAAGUAUAUAAAGGUAUCAAAAAACAGUUCACUCAUGGGUAUAGUCACUUACCUAUAUAUCUUAAAUGUUUCAACCAAAGUUGUUCCUACUAUGAUAUAGAAAAAUGUCCAUUUUGAACUCUAAAUUUAUAGAGAUUGGCGAAAUGAACCUUUAAUUCAAAAUCCCUAUCGAUUACACCUUAAACUAUGCAAUCCCGGUUUAAAAAGAACCCUGGGUUCGUCGGGAUUGGGCUGCGCUGCGCGGGCACGCGCGAAAAUGACUGAGCCAGCCCAAUCAAGCCUAUCUCGCUCUCGGACUUCACAAUAUUUACGGAAAUAAAAAAAUGAGAAAACAAAUUCACCAAUUUUGAAGAAAUAAUCAUGGAUUUAGAAAUGACAAGUACUAUUUUGAAAUGCCACGUACUAUUUUUAUAAUAUUUAAAUAUAUUUCGAAAUGUCACGUACUAUUUUAAUAGUAUUUAAAUAAAUUUUGAAAUGCCAUGUACUAGUUUUAUAAUAUUUAAAUAUGUUUUGAAAUGCCACGUACUGUUUUUUUAAUAUUUAAAUAUAUUUUGAAAUGCCACGUACUAUUUUUAUAAUAUCUAACUAUAUUUUAAAAUGCCACGUACUAUCUUUAUAAUAUUUCAAUUUAUUCUGAAAUGCAACAUAAUAUUUUUAUUAUAUUUAAAUAAAUUUUAAGAUGGCAUGUACUAUUUUAAUAAUACUUAAAUAGAUUUUGAAAUGCCGCACGGAAAAUUACACACGCUCUAUUUUUCUUAAGAGAAAUGUUUUUGCUGCAGCACUACUACUUGUCUGAAUAUUCCAUAGCUAGUGAAAAUAUUGUACGUGCUAACCUGAAAAAUCACAUUUGCUGGUCAAUAUAGAGCUGCUGACUUUAGCUCCAGCUGUUGCAGCUGCCCAGCGUAUUGUUUUUCUUUUUCUUUUUCUUUUACUCUUUUUUUUAUAAAAAAAAUUCAUUUUAUUUUAUAUAUAUAUUUUCAUUUUUUUAAAGGGCAGCCUUUUUUAUUAACUUAUUUCGCCUUUAUGAACGUUUUGUAUUCAUUUUUUUGUUUUUAAGUUUUUUAGACCACACGACAGACUUUUUUGGCAGUCUAACUAAAAAAAUAAAAUGGGCCGACCCAACGCACUACUUGGCCCAUUAGCCAGCCGAAUCCCGGUUGACAUUUUAUUUUUGUGUCUCAGGGUCCGAUUUAGACCGGAAUCAUGUAGUUUAGGGAGCAAACGACAAAGAUUUAGACUUGAUGGUUUGAUUCGCCAAACUUCUAUGAAUUCAGGGUUUAAAAUAAGCUUUUUCCUAUGAUAUAUAGCCAAGGGUUGUUCAACCAAAAGUUGUACGAGAUGAAGUUUCCUUCAAACCGGAGGAAAAUUGUUCUAGUAUACAUUUUAAAGAUAAUACCCCAACCUUCAACAGAUGAAAAUUUGUAUUAGUGAUCGAAGCAAGAUACAGAGAAAGGAAAAAACACAAGAAAAGUGAAUUAACAAAAAUGCCAUUCUUUCUUGUAAUGCAUACAAAUUUUAGUUCACAAGACAGUAAAAGAUGAAUGAAACCUUUGGUAUCACAGUGCAUUGACGAUAUUUUAAUAGACUGCAUUUUGAGUAAGAUUUGUUGCAUCGCAUAACCCUUUGCCGUGAUAAAUUCCGUGCAUAAGUAACAAAAUUAGAGGUGCAUUAUCAAUCAAAAUCAAGCAUAAUUCUAAGAUUCUAAAUAGACUCUCUUUGAUUUGCGUAUUCUAUGUUGUCCUCGAGAAAAAAUUGCGAUGUAUCGCAUCAUAAUUAACCUAACUUUAUAAAAGGAAAAAAUCCAAAAUAAAUCUUGAACUUGUAGACAAAACCUAAACCAUACCCUGAACUUCGAAUCCCUGAAAUUAUCACACUGAACUCACUGAUCCUGGUCUAUUUUANNNNNNNNNNNNNNNNNNNNNNNNNNNNNNNNNNNNNNNNNNNNNNNNNNNNNNNNNNNNNNNNNNNNNNNNNNNNNNNNNNNNNNNNNNNNNNNNNNNNUUGAUGUUGUGCACCACCUCCUUGCUGGUGGUGACCGGGAAUCCCUGGUCUGAGACCAUGACACCGGUGGCGUACCUGGACGUGGUGUUGAACGCGGCCCAGUCGGCGAGCCCGCCGACGAGGCUCGCCACGAUUGCGACGAACCUGCCGGCGUCGCUGGGGGCCACGGAGUCGUCGCUGGCUCCCUUGGACUGCCCCUGCCGGUUGUCCGGGCUGGUGAGGAAGUCCCGGAAGGAGUAGCGGACGGUGCAGCGGUCGUAGAAGAUGGAGACGUCCUUGACGCCCAUGCACCUGCCGAAUGCGACAUCCGGCGCGAGGGCGAGGCAGGAGGACGCGCACUCUGUGCCGUUGGUGGCGUCGCCCCGGCAGAGGCCAAGCCCCCGACACCGUGUCGGUGUUGGCGCCGACGACCGCCGUUGCGAACAGCGAGCGGGAGGCGUUGGCGGCGAGGGACGCGAGGAGGGUGCGGACGUUGGACUGGUAGGUGCUGUUCUCGGGGUAGUACGUGCCGUUGUUGCACUCCCACGGUCACGAGCUCCGCCCUGGCGCCGGCGGACGGCGUUACCAAGGUGCAAACGUGAUGAUAGCAGUAGCAGGAGGACGGAGG